UACGUAGGUGACCAGCGUUGUCCGGAUUUACUGGGCGUAAAGAGCGCGCAGGCGGUCGUUCAAGUCGAGUGUGAAAGCCCCCGGCUCAACUGGGGAGGGUCACUCGAUACUGAUCGACUUGAAGGCAGGAGAGGGAAGCGGAAUUCCCGGUGUAGUGGUGAAAUGCGUAGAUAUCAGGAGGAACACCGGUGGCGAAGGCGCACAUCUGGCCCGAUACUGACGCUGAGGCGCGAAAGCUAGGGGAGCAAACGGG
RNAcentral lists this ribosomal RNA (253 nucleotides) under uncultured bacterium. RNAcentral describes it as "partial 16S ribosomal RNA". It matches the Rfam family "Bacterial small subunit ribosomal RNA", at positions 524 to 776 of the family's 1533-position model. The record is from RNAcentral.